Molecule: ribosomal RNA, 540 nt
Filed under: uncultured bacterium
Lineage: Bacteria
Description: bacterial SSU rRNA
Rfam family: Bacterial small subunit ribosomal RNA
Source: RNAcentral
AAUAGAUACCCGGGUAGUCCACGCCGUAAACGAUGAGUGCUAAGUGUUAGAGGGUUUCCGCCCUUUAGUGCUGCAGCUAACGCAUUAAGCACUCCGCCUGGGGAGUACGACCGCAAGGUUGAAACUCAAAGGAAUUGACGGGGGCCCGCACAAGCGGUGGAGCAUGUGGUUUAAUUCGAAGCAACGCGAAGAACCUUACCAGGUCUUGACAUCCUCUGACCUCCCUAGAGAUAGGGCCUUCCCCUUCGGGGGACAGAGUGACAGGUGGUGCAUGGUUGUCGUCAGCUCGUGUCGUGAGAUGUUGGGUUAAGUCCCGCAACGAGCGCAACCCUUGACCUUAGUUGCCAGCAUUCAGUUGGGCACUCUAAGGUGACUGCCGGUGACAAACCGGAGGAAGGUGGGGAUGACGUCAAAUCAUCAUGCCCCUUAUGACCUGGGCUACACACGUGCUACAAUGGAUGGUACAAAGGGCUGCGAGACCGCGAGGUUAAGCCAAUCCCAUAAAACCAUUCUCAGUUCGGAUUGCAAGGCUGCAACUCG